AAGCAGCCUGAAUCGCCGCAGACGCCUAAAGUUGAGGAACCUAAAGAAGCAGCAUCUCCCAAGCAAGGUAAACUAGCCGAGAAAGGAGAAAUUGAGACAAAGCAGGCUAGAAUCCAAAAAAGCCCUGAACCAGUUAUCGAAGAACCAGCUUCGCCGGAGUUACAGAAAAAGAGGGGUACAUUUGCCAUUAUUGAAGAAGCCGAACACUUUGAUGAUGU
Long non-coding RNA from Sitophilus oryzae (rice weevil), 218 nucleotides. RefSeq lists it as uncharacterized. The transcript is spliced from 2 exons. NCBI's taxonomy places the organism in Eukaryota, Metazoa, Arthropoda, Insecta, Coleoptera, Curculionidae. The record is from RefSeq and is a predicted model, not a curated record.